Molecule: long non-coding RNA, 907 nt
Filed under: Setaria viridis
Lineage: Eukaryota; Viridiplantae; Streptophyta; Magnoliopsida; Poales; Poaceae
Description: long non-coding RNA (SVIR_LNC000569)
Source: RNAcentral
CCAGACGGACGACAAUACUUUACAAGUUGUAUCGUACGUGGAGUGGGCAGCAGGGAUUUUCAGUUCGUUUGUGCGCCUCCCUACCUUUUAGACCGGAGCAGAUUAGCGGAGAGACCAGGACAUUGGCUGCAUGGACAAUAUGGUAGCCAUUUGUGGCUGGAGAAUAUCUAGUGGGAGCCACGGUUGAUUUCUAAAUAUCAAAACUUUUCUAGUUAUAGCACCGAAGCAGCGUGAAGUUUUUUAAAACAGAAAUUGCGAAGAAACGGUACGGUCUAUGCCUCAAUAUAGUAUUGCGUCGCAAUUUAAAUUAUUUUGGAAAGCCCUAGCUAGUGGCCCAUACACUUUGGGUGGGGUAGUAAAGAGAUUAUAUAUAAAAGCUUGAGUGCAAUGGCUUCAGCUCAUACAAAAGGACCAUAAAAAGACUUAAAUAAGCUAAUCGAGCUAUGGGUUGCUAAUCAUUUUUUUUCAAUGAUAGGCAACAUGUUGGUGGACAAAGAGACAUCUUCGGUGAAUUCAUCAAUCUCAAUUUAUGAUAGGUGAGUGUGUCUGAAUAUGAGCAUAUGAACGACUGUGUUAGGGCAGUCCCAAUGUGCGAAACCAUCGUAGUUUUCAUAGUCUAGGAUAUUGUAUCAAGAAAUCAUCCUUCACAAUGCAACUUUUUAUCUAGAAUCUAAACAAAAAUUCAACCAAUCAUUCUGUCUUCUAGUACCAGAUUCUCUAUGCACGUAAAGGAGGCCCGGUGCCUGGUGGACUCCCUGUGCGCACUGGAUCCAGAGGAGGCCGCUGAAAACCAGUGGUUUCUCCCCAAUGCCAUUUCUCUGGUUUCUUGGUGCGUUGAUUCCCGUGAAGACUUAGUUUCCUGAGAAGGAAACCAUUUCUUAGUUGUGCGUUCUCCCUCUACAUUAAC